AUUGAACGCUGGCGGAAUGCUUUACACAUGCAAGUCGAGCGGCAGCACGGGGGCAACCCUGGUGGCGAGCGGCGAACGGGUGAGUAAUACAUCGGAACAUACCCAGUCGUGGGGGAUAACACUUCGAAAGAAGUGCUAAUACCGCAUACGUCCUGAGGGAGAAAGCGGGGGAUCGCAAGACCUCGCGCGAUUGGAGUGGCCGAUGUCAGAUUAGCUAGUUGGUGGGGUAAAGGCCUACCAAGGCAACGAUCUGUAGCUGGUCUGAGAGGAUGAUCAGCCACACUGGGACUGAGACACGGCCCAGACUCCUACGGGAGGCAGCAGUGGGGAAUUUUGGACAAUGGGGGCAACCCUGAUCCAGCCAUUCCGCGUGAGUGAAGAAGGCCUUCGGGUUGUAAAGCUCUUUCGGCAGGAACGAAACGGCGAGCUCUAACAUAGCUUGCUAAUGACGGUACCUGAAGAAGAAGCACCGGCUAACUACGUG
Molecule: ribosomal RNA, 484 nt
Filed under: uncultured bacterium
Lineage: Bacteria
Description: partial 16S ribosomal RNA
Rfam family: Bacterial small subunit ribosomal RNA
Source: RNAcentral